AGCUCCAAUAGCGUAUAUUAAUGUUGUUGCAGUUAAAAGCUCGUAGUUGGAUAUCUGGCCUUUGCGUUGACGACCCGCCCUCUUUUGGGAUGAGCGUUGGAGACGUGGGUCUAUUUUCCGGUUGGUGUCCAUUCCACUUUAUUGGGGCGUGGUUCACGAUCCGGAUCGUUUACUUUGAAAAAUUCGAGUGUUCAUAGCAGGCUUACGCCGUGAAGAUCGCAGCAUGGAAUAAUAACAUAGGACUUGGCGUUCUAUUUUGUUGGUUCUGGAACCUAAGUAAUGAUUGAUAGGGACAGUUGGGGGUGCUGCUAUAGACUGGCCAGAGGUGAAAUUCUAAGACUCAGUCUAGAGCAACUUAUGCGAAAGCAUUCACCAAGGAUGUCUUCU
Molecule: ribosomal RNA, 387 nt
Filed under: uncultured eukaryote
Lineage: Eukaryota
Description: SSU rRNA
Rfam family: Eukaryotic small subunit ribosomal RNA
Source: RNAcentral